This 74-nucleotide transfer RNA is filed under the name Moorena producens 3L. RNAcentral describes it as "Moorea producens 3L tRNA-Pro". It matches the Rfam family "tRNA". Rfam says of the family: Transfer RNA (tRNA) molecules are approximately 80 nucleotides in length. Their secondary structure includes four short double-helical elements and three loops (D, anti-codon, and T loops). RNAcentral also lists the same sequence under 40 other names. Lineage: Bacteria; Bacillati; Cyanobacteriota; Cyanophyceae; Coleofasciculales; Coleofasciculaceae. The record is from RNAcentral.
CGGGAUGUAGCGCAGUUUGGUAGCGCACUUCGUUCGGGACGAAGGGGUCGCAGGUUCAAAUCCUGUCAUCCCGA